GACGAACGCUGGCGGCGUGCCUAAUACAUGCAAGUAGGACGCAGUUGCCAACGGGUGAGUAACGCGUAGGUAACUCCCUAUUAGAGGGUGAUAACUAUUGGAAACGAUAGCUAAUACCGCAUCUUAGUAGAUGGACCUUCGUUGUAUUAGCUAGUAGGUAGGGUAAUGGCCUAAUGAGGCAACGAUACAUAGCCGAGCUGGGAGGGUGAGAGGGCAGACUGGGCCUGAGACGCGGCCCAGACUGCUACGGGAGGCAGCAGUAGGGGAACUUCGGCAAAUGGGGGAACGCUGACCGAGCAACGCCGCGGGAGUGAAGAGGGUGUUCGGAGCGUAAAGCUCUGUUGUUAAGUAAGCGGUACUUAACCAGAAAGGGACGGCUAACUACGUGCCAGCAGCCGCGGUAAUUC
This 407-nucleotide ribosomal RNA is filed under the name uncultured bacterium. Its description in RNAcentral is "partial 16S ribosomal RNA". It matches the Rfam family "Bacterial small subunit ribosomal RNA", at positions 28 to 526 of the family's 1533-position model. The record is from RNAcentral.